RNAcentral lists this non-coding RNA (76 nucleotides) under uncultured archaeon. The record is from RNAcentral.
GAAAGCCGUGUACGGAAAAACCGUCCGCACGGUUUGAUGAGGAGACGGAGGUUGAAAGACCUCUGUUUUACUCUAC